UCCCUGGUGGCUCAGAUGGUAAAGCAUCUGCCUGCAAUGCAGGAAACCUCGGUUCGAUUCCUGGGUUGGGAA
RNAcentral lists this transfer RNA (72 nucleotides) under Ovis aries (sheep). It matches the Rfam family "tRNA". Rfam says of the family: Transfer RNA (tRNA) molecules are approximately 80 nucleotides in length. Their secondary structure includes four short double-helical elements and three loops (D, anti-codon, and T loops). Lineage: Eukaryota; Metazoa; Chordata; Mammalia; Artiodactyla; Bovidae. The record is from Rfam by way of RNAcentral.